This 603-nucleotide ribosomal RNA is filed under the name Clarireedia homoeocarpa. Its description in RNAcentral is "SSU rRNA". It matches the Rfam family "Eukaryotic small subunit ribosomal RNA", at positions 555 to 1162 of the family's 1831-position model. The record is from RNAcentral. Lineage: Eukaryota; Fungi; Ascomycota; Leotiomycetes; Helotiales; Rutstroemiaceae.
GCAAGUCUGGUGCCAGCAGCCGCGGUAAUUCCAGCUCCAAUAGCGUAUAUUAAAGUUGUUGCAGUUAAAAAGCUCGUAGUUGAACCUUGGGCCUGGCUGACCGGUCCGCCUCACCGCGUGCACUGGUUCGGCCGGGCCUUUCCUUCUGGGGAGCCGCAUGCCCUUCACUGGGUGUGUCGGGGAACCAGGACUUUUACUUUGAAAAAAUUAGAGUGUUCAAAGCAGGCCUAUGCUCGAAUACAUUAGCAUGGAAUAAUAGAAUAGGACGUGUGGUUCUAUUUUGUUGGUUUCUAGGACCGCCGUAGUGAUUAAUAGGGAUAGUCGGGGGCAUCAGUAUUCAAUUGUCAGAGGUGAAAUUCUUGGAUUUAUUGAAGACUAACUACUGCGAAAGCAUUUGCCAAGGAUGUUUUCAUUAAUCAGUGAACGAAAGUUAGGGGAUCGAAGACGACCAGAUACCGUCGUAGUCUUAACCAUAAACUAUGCCGACUAGGGAUCGGGCGAUGUUAUCUUUUUGACUCGCUCGGCACCUCACGAGAAAUCAAAGUUUUUGGGUUCUGGGGGGAGUAUGGUCGCAAGGCUGAAACUUAAAGGAAUUGACGGAAG